UACGUAGGUUGCGAGCGUUGUUCGGAUUUAUUGGGCGUAAAGGGUUCGUAGGGGGUUGGCUAAGUCUGGCGUGAAAUCCCGAAGCUUAACUUCGGAACUGCGUUGGAAACUGGCUGACUAGAGCGUCGGAGAGGGGAGUGGAAUUCCUGGUGUAGCGGUGGAAUGCGUAGAUAUCAGGAGGAACACCAAAAGCGAAGGCAGCUCCCUGGACGACCGCUGACCCUGAGGAACGAAAGCGUGGGGAG
This 245-nucleotide ribosomal RNA is filed under the name uncultured bacterium. RNAcentral describes it as "partial 16S ribosomal RNA". It matches the Rfam family "Bacterial small subunit ribosomal RNA", at positions 524 to 768 of the family's 1533-position model. The record is from RNAcentral.